GACGAACGCUGGCGGCGUGCUUAACACAUGCAAGUCGAACGGAAAGGCCCUGCUUUUGUGGGGUGCUCGAGUGGCGAACGGGUGAGUAACACGUGAGUAACCUGCCCUUGACUUUGGGAUAACUUCAGGAAACUGGGGCUAAUACCGGAUAGGAGCUCCUGCUGCGUGGUGGGGGUUGGAAAGUUUCGGCGGUUGGGGAUGGACUCGGGGCUGAUCAGCUUGUUGGUGGGGUAGUGGCUUACCAAGGCUUAGACGGGUAGCCGGCCUGAGAGGGUGACCGGCGACAUUGGGCCUGCGAUACGGCCCAGUCUCCUACGGGGGGCAGUAGUGGGGAAUAUUGCACAAUGGGCGGACGCCUGAGGCAGCAGCGCCGCGUUCGGGAUGUCGGCCUUCGGGUUGUAAACCGCUUUCGCCUGUGACGAAGCGUUAGUGACGGUACUGGGUAAAGAAGCACCGGCUAACUACGUG
This 468-nucleotide ribosomal RNA is filed under the name uncultured bacterium. RNAcentral describes it as "partial 16S ribosomal RNA". It matches the Rfam family "Bacterial small subunit ribosomal RNA", at positions 28 to 507 of the family's 1533-position model. The record is from RNAcentral.